CUCGAGUAAAGUGCCCUCGAAUCAUAGACAUGGCUAUAUAAUAACCCUUUAAAUUUGGUUAUAUUCCUCCGAUCGGUUGAGCCGAAGAUCCUCCGAGGGAGCUAACCCGGAAGCAGCCGGCAGCCUAGACCGGAAGACCGCACCGACCUGGCAAUCUAAAAGUGGAGUGCCAGUUUGGGCUAAAAGUGGAACGUCAACAAAACUGACCGGGUACUGCUCGCCCGAGCAGAGCGCACGAACAACCGACCCAACCGGCACGCACACACGUACUCCAAAACCGGUUAGGCAUGGGGCGUAGGGCGUUGGUUAGGUAGGAGCGGAGUAGGGUGAGGGCGCGGUCGGUGGUGGGUUUGGUAUCGGGGGAAAGGGGACCUAGGGGUGUCGGAGAGAGCGGAGGAGGUAGGGAGGAGGUGCGGAGCGGCGGCGGAGGCGGAUGAUAAGGAGGAGGUGGUGGCAACGAUGAAUAGGUGGUGCGAUCGGGGAGGUGAAGUCGAAGGAAAAGAAGCAACAGACGUGCGCAGUCGCUCCGGACCGAGGUCUAGACCGCGCCCAAUCCGCUCGAGCCACCACCCUACUUACCCGUCCCCUCCACCCGCUACUCCCGUCCGUUGUCAGCCGAGCAGCGCUACACCACUUCGACGUCCCUUCUCCCUCCUCCAGCCGCUAUCCCCACGUCGCGCGAGCCGUGUGCUGCCCGCGCCGCCAGUUCCGGUUCCCGCGUCGACCCCUCAACGUGUGCGCAGCUCAUUGCCGCUGGCGUAGGCGACGGUUGUAGCUCACCGGUCUGUAACUCUGUACCUCCGGCUCACCGUGUUGUGGAGACGAUGUUGGUCAAGCGCACUACAACAUUGGCCGAAUCGGGGGUCGAUGUUGGCCACGGUGGCGACACCUCGAUAGGCUCCGGCCGGUACCACUGGAAGGUACAGCUUUCGACGUUGGUGGAGAUGUAUCGACCUUGGGCGCCGCGGCUUUCAACGUUGGUGACGGCCCCUUUCGACGUUGGUGAUGGGUUAAAACGUAAAAAAACGAUGGCAGCAAAUAAAAAAACGACCUUGGUCGUGUUAAAAAACGAUGGUGACCAAAAACCCAUACGACUUUGUUCGGGGUUAAAAACAUUAAAAACGAUGGCUGUCGCAAAAUCAAACGAUCUUGCUUGAAAUAAAAAACGAUGGUGGCCGCAAAAAAUAAAACGACCUUGUUGCGGGUUAAACGUACAAAAAACGAUGGUGGAAAAAAAUCAAAUGACCUUGGUCACGGUACAAAAAGAUGGUGGCAGCAAAACCUACGUUUGGUACCACAACAGCACACUUUUGGCCGUCUGGAGCGCCAUCCCCAGAGCUCACCUAUAGUCUGUAUACCAUUGUCCUUGUUCCUCUGCUACAAAUGGGUCCAAGUCCGGGAGAACUACCUCCAUUUUGGGAUGUAGGACGAGAACAAAUAUAACUACCUCUACAUAGCUUAUGUCUCAACUAGAUGGAGCUCUAGCAGUCUACACAAGAUUGAGAUCCCGAUCCACUUGCUCUAACGCAACUACAGUGGAGAUGUCCUAUUUGGGAAACCGAAUAUAUCUGCGGUACAUCCCGAGGAUCCCAAUGUUCCAGCCAUAGAUCCGCACCUCCGCCGUUCUCUUUAGAACCUCAUGUACAGUUCAGAAGCUGGUUACGUCAGAACUAGAGUGGAGCUCGCACGUUGAAGGCCUCAGGUAGAACUCUCAUUACUUCCGGGUAACUGGGUCGGGCCUCUUAUACCCGACUGAUCCAACCGUGGGGGAUCAGAUCCUGUGGCAGUCAUCGGGGACUUGCC
RNAcentral lists this ribosomal RNA (1803 nucleotides) under Triticum aestivum (bread wheat). Its description in RNAcentral is "partial small subunit ribosomal RNA". Lineage: Eukaryota; Viridiplantae; Streptophyta; Magnoliopsida; Poales; Poaceae. The record is from RNAcentral.